RNAcentral lists this ribosomal RNA (253 nucleotides) under uncultured bacterium. RNAcentral's name for it is "partial 16S ribosomal RNA". It matches the Rfam family "Bacterial small subunit ribosomal RNA", at positions 524 to 776 of the family's 1533-position model. The record is from RNAcentral.
UACGGGGGGGGCAAGCGUUGUUCGGAAUUACUGGGCGUAAAGGGCUCGUAGGUGGCCAACUAAGUCGAACGUGAAAUCCCUGGGCUCAACCCAGGAACUGCGUCCGAUACUGGAAGGCUUGAAUCCGGGAGAGGGAUGCGGAAUUCCAGGUGUAGCGGUGAAAUGCGUAGAUAUCUGGAGGAACACCGGUGGCGAAGGCGGCAUCCUGGACCGGUAUUGACGCUGAGGCGCGAAAGCUAGGGGAGCAAACGGG